Molecule: unclassified non-coding RNA, 297 nt
Filed under: Hevea brasiliensis (rubber tree)
Lineage: Eukaryota; Viridiplantae; Streptophyta; Magnoliopsida; Malpighiales; Euphorbiaceae
Source: RNAcentral
GUUUAAAUAACAAAACUAUCAAUCACAAAGCAUCAACAGCAACCAUCAUCAUGUUUGUCAUCUACUACAGUAGACAUUUAACUUUUGACCUACCUAUAUCACAAAACCAAAUUGUGUAUCUAAUCCAAUCUGAUCCGAUCCAACCAAGAAGAGGUGUUGUUUCAUUUUGCCCCCCACCCUUGAAGAGAGUAACGUUCCUUUUACUUUAUUGGAAGGUCUGUCGACACUUGAUUUCAUAUGGUCACAUGAGAUAAUCAAGACUCAAAACGAAUGACAAGAUACAACAGAAAAAGAGAA